GAAUUAUUCAGGUAUUGCAAGACUUAUGUCCUGCGUGUUCCUCGACUCAUUUGUGGUGUGCCUGCUCUUCUGCAUAUGGUUCUGGUGUAAACAAAAAUGGUUCUGUAGUAAGUUCCUCCUGCACUGUUUGUCGGUUAUCAGAGGUUGAGGGUUUGCUUACGACACUGCAGAUCUCUCGCUUUGACGACCAUUGGCUAUGUUCAGACUUUUCUUAUCCUGCUGCUUUUGUUUGUAACAUGUAGCGACUUAGGUUGUGUUAUCAAGUCAUUUGGCCGUGCUUAAACAUGUACUCGCAUCACGAUUUGAAACGCAUAUGUAUCGGUCGAUCUUGAAACAACUGAUUUGUAUGUUGUAAUGUUAGUUUGAAAAAUGAAAAAAUGUAAUUUUAAUGUGUGAACAUGUUUUGCCAAUAUAUUGUAC
RNAcentral lists this long non-coding RNA (420 nucleotides) under Lathyrus oleraceus (garden pea). RNAcentral describes it as "Pisum sativum (pea) long non-coding RNA (PSAT_LNC035711)". Lineage: Eukaryota; Viridiplantae; Streptophyta; Magnoliopsida; Fabales; Fabaceae. The record is from RNAcentral.